UUGACCUCAGAUCAGGUAGGACUACCGCCUGAACUUAAGCAUAUCAAUAAGGCGAGGAACAGAAACCAACAGGGAUUCCCCUAGUAGUGGCGAAUGAAGCGGGAAAAGCUCAAGUUUGAAAUCCGGUGGGGUCAUCCCCUCCAGAGUUGUAAGCUGAAGAGGCGUCGACCGACGUUGUCCGGGCCCAAUUUCCUUGGAACAGGAGGUCAUGGAGGGUGAGAACCCCGUCUGUGGCUCGGAGCCAACGUCCUUGUGUCGUGUCCUCGAAGAGUCGGGUUGUUUGGGAAUGCAGCUCAAAAUGGGUGGUAAAUUCCAUCUAAGGCUAAAUACAGGCGAGAGACCGAUAGCGAACAAGUACCGUGAGGGAAAGAUGAAAAGAACUUUGAAAAGAGAGUUAAACAGUACGUGAAAUUGUUGAAAGGGAAACGAUUCAAGUCAGUCGCGUCGCCCGGUAAUCAACCCUUUGCUAAAAGAGGGCUCACUUUCUGGGUCGACGGGUCAGCGUCAGUUUUGACCGUCAGAUAAAGGCGCGAGGAAUGUGGCAUCUUCGGAUGUGUUAUAGCCUCCCGUCGCAUGUGAUGGUUGGGAUUGAGGAUCUCGACACGCCGCAAGGUCGGGGCUUUCGCGCCCACGUAACG
This 638-nucleotide ribosomal RNA is filed under the name uncultured fungus. Its description in RNAcentral is "eukaryotic LSU rRNA". It matches the Rfam family "Eukaryotic large subunit ribosomal RNA", at positions 1 to 609 of the family's 3401-position model. The record is from RNAcentral. Lineage: Eukaryota; Fungi.